Molecule: ribosomal RNA, 253 nt
Filed under: uncultured bacterium
Lineage: Bacteria
Description: partial 16S ribosomal RNA
Rfam family: Archaeal small subunit ribosomal RNA
Source: RNAcentral
UACCGGCACCCCGAGUGGUCGGGACGUUUAUUGGGCCUAAAGCAUCCGUAGCCGGUUCUACAAGUCUUCCGUUAAAUCCACCUGCUUAACAGAUGGGCUGCGGAAGAUACUAUAGAGCUAGGAGGCGGGAGAGGCAAGCGGUACUCGAUGGGUAGGGGUAAAAUCCGUUGAUCCAUUGAAGACCCCCAGUGGCGAAGGCGGCUUGCCAGAACGCGCUCGACGGUGAGUGAUGAAAGCUGGGGGAGCAAACCGG